This is a long non-coding RNA of Solanum tuberosum (potato), 874 nucleotides long. RefSeq lists it as uncharacterized. NCBI's taxonomy places the organism in Eukaryota, Viridiplantae, Streptophyta, Magnoliopsida, Solanales, Solanaceae. The transcript has 4 exons. The record is from RefSeq and is a predicted model, not a curated record.
UACUUCUCUCAAGACUUCUCUCUUUUCUCUCACUAUGUUAUAUGUUUUCCAUGUAGAAUUGAUGUAUUUCAUCACUUCAAAUCGGUUCUUCUUCAACGUUGGUCGAUAGCUCUUCAUCAUUAUCUUUGUACAGGAAACAUGGGAUUGUGAAAUAGCUAUUACAAAUUACUGCAAAUACUUCAGGAUCCCCUUAUGCACAACUCCAGCACAACACUGUGGUUGUUGAAUUAGGAUAUGCCUAUGAUGUACUUGAAGAUAUGAGCAGUUAUGAUUUGAGUAUGUUAUGUCUAUUGAAGAGGGGUAUAAUGAGAAUGUCGCAUUCGGUGUUGAGGAUUUGAUGCACAACAACCCUGCAAUGAAAAAGAGACGUAUCAUUCAAGACCGCCUCAUGGCUGAAAUGUUUGCGGGCAAAAAACACUCAUCCAUGAAUUCGACUUACAUUGUUGGGGAAGUUAGAUGGACUAUGACUGGAGUUCAAGUGCAGUAAAGGAAAAGACUGAGAAAAUAUUAAUUAGUGGGAGGUACGCAAUAUGUAUUUUUAUAUUCAUUUUUUGUAUAAGGUUAUAUCAUAUGUUUCAAGUAUUUAGUUUGCUUAUACUUUAGGACUCUGUAUACAUCUUUUGAUUGUAAAUAAUAAUUUUCUCUACUUUUUGUGUAUUUGAUGUAUACUCAUUCAAAAGAGAGAGUUCAUAUAUUUUUAAAGAAGAGACUCAACUGGACCAUGUGCCGUCGUAUUUUUCAUUGCUUAGGAGAAAACGAAAUAUUCUUAUUAUAUUUCUAGGAAAAGCACAACUGAUUGGUUGGGACCUUAUAAGAUGUUGUUCUUGAUAAUUUUGAGAAGACAUAGGAUAUAUAUUUGUAUCUGGCGUAAAAC